RNAcentral lists this transfer RNA (72 nucleotides) under Bucorvus abyssinicus (Abyssinian ground-hornbill). It matches the Rfam family "tRNA". From Rfam's summary of the family: Transfer RNA (tRNA) molecules are approximately 80 nucleotides in length. Their secondary structure includes four short double-helical elements and three loops (D, anti-codon, and T loops). RNAcentral also lists the same sequence under 1 other name. The record is from Rfam by way of RNAcentral. Lineage: Eukaryota; Metazoa; Chordata; Aves; Bucerotiformes; Bucorvidae.
GGGGACGUAGCUCAGUGGUAGAGCGCGUGCUUCGCAUGUACGAGGCCCCGGGUUCGAUCCCCGGCGUCUCCA